CUAAAUGACUCUCGACAACGGAUAUCUCGGCUCUCGCAACGAUGAAGAACGUAGCGAAAUGCGAUACUUGGUGUGAAUUGCAGAAUCCCGUGAACCAUCGAGUCUUUGAACGCAAGUUGCGCCCGAAGCCUCCUGGCCGAGGGCACGCCUGCCUGGGCGUCACGCAU
Molecule: ribosomal RNA, 167 nt
Filed under: Harveya huttonii
Lineage: Eukaryota; Viridiplantae; Streptophyta; Magnoliopsida; Lamiales; Orobanchaceae
Description: 5.8S ribosomal RNA
Rfam family: 5.8S ribosomal RNA
About the family: 5.8S ribosomal RNA (5.8S rRNA) is a component of the large subunit of the eukaryotic ribosome. It is transcribed by RNA polymerase I as part of the 45S precursor that also contains 18S and 28S rRNA. Functionally, it is thought that 5.8S rRNA may be involved in ribosome translocation.
Source: RNAcentral